AGCACUUGUCUAGCAUAAACAACCCUGGGUUCAUUCAAGCUCCAACAUGGAAACUGUCUGCAGACUGAGCGAACCAAGCAUUCUAUCAGAACCCUGAGGCCCUGGAUUCUAGGUCCAGCAGCAGCCAGAGGGACCAUGCAGGUCCUCCUCGCUGUGAUGGUCUGGAUGGCUUCUUCUGCGUCUGGUUUUUCAUAUACAGCAAGUACUUUGCCAAAAAUAACAAACGAGGACUUCAUCGAAGAAUGCGUUGAAGUUCACAACCACUUUCGGUCAAAAGCGUAUCCACCGGCCGGGAAUAUGUUGUACAUGUCUUGGGACCCAAAACUAGCCCAAAUUGCAAAAGCGUGGGCACAGUCUUGUGUAUUUCAACACAACCCACAGCUGCAUUCGCGAAUACACCCAAACUUUACUGGCCUGGGCGAAAACAUUUGGCUUGGCUCUCUAUCCCUCUUCUCAGUACGUGCGGCCAUCCUCGCCUGGUUUGAAGAAAGCCAGUACUAUGACUUCAGCACUGGGAAAUGUAAAAAAGUCUGUGGGCAUUACACUCAGCUAACCCACAACGAGAUCAGGUCUCACGUCACUCUGCUGAUUAUCCAAAAUAUCUACGUAACAGAUACACAUCGCUCUAUCUCAUCGCUAAGUCAGUUCUCCUAUUACUGUCUGUCAUAAUUACCAUUUGGGUAAAGCACAAAUAUCCUAACUUAGUUCUUUUGGACUAAUGCCCUGGUUAGGGGACAACUUAUUCAUAUGUGGUGAUUUUAAAAUGUUUCAAUAAAAUCUUAGAAGAGUUAA
Molecule: long non-coding RNA, 792 nt
Filed under: Rattus norvegicus (Norway rat)
Lineage: Eukaryota; Metazoa; Chordata; Mammalia; Rodentia; Muridae
Description: long non-coding RNA NONRATT026743
Source: RNAcentral